AACCUACGGGGGGCAGCAGUGGGGAAUAUUGGGCAAUGGGCGCAAGCCUGACCCAGCAACGCCGCGUGAAGGAAGAAGGCCCUCGGGUUGUAAACUUCUUUUAUUCGGGACGAAACAAAUGACGGUACCGAAUGAAUAAGCCACGGCUAACUACGUGCCAGCAGCCGCGGUAAUACGUAGGUGGCAAGCGUUGUCCGGAUUUACUGGGUGUAAAGGGCGUGCAGCCGGAGAGACAAGUCAGAUGUGAAAUCCACGGGCUCAACCCGUGAACUGCAUUUGAA
This 281-nucleotide ribosomal RNA is filed under the name uncultured bacterium. RNAcentral describes it as "partial 16S ribosomal RNA". It matches the Rfam family "Bacterial small subunit ribosomal RNA", at positions 335 to 631 of the family's 1533-position model. The record is from RNAcentral.